This 474-nucleotide ribosomal RNA is filed under the name uncultured organism. RNAcentral describes it as "partial 16S ribosomal RNA". It matches the Rfam family "Bacterial small subunit ribosomal RNA", at positions 331 to 797 of the family's 1533-position model. The record is from RNAcentral.
GUACACUCCUGCGGGAGGCAGCAGUGGGGAAUUUUGGACAAUGGGCGAAAGCCUGAUCCAGCAAUGCCGCGUGAGUGAAGAAGGCCUUCGGGUUGUAAAGCUCUUUUGUCAGGGAAGAAACGGUGAAAGCUAAUAUCUUUUGCUAAUGACGGUACCUGAAGAAUAAGCACCGGCUAACUACGUGCCAGCAGCCGCGGUAAUACGUAGGGUGCAAGCGUUAAUCGGAAUUACUGGGCGUAAAGCGUGCGCAGGCGGUUUUGUAAGUCUGAUGUGAAAUCCCCGGGCUCAACCUGGGAAUUGCAUUGGAGACUGCAAGGCUAGAAUCUGGCAGAGGGGGGUAGAAUUCCACGUGUAGCAGUGAAAUGCGUAGAUAUGUGGAGGGACACCGAUGGCGAAGGCAGCCCCCUGGGUCAAGAUUGACGCUCAUGCACGAAAGCGUGGGGAGCAAACAGGAUUAGAAACCCGUGUAGUCCC